This 584-nucleotide unclassified non-coding RNA is filed under the name Hevea brasiliensis (rubber tree). The record is from RNAcentral. Lineage: Eukaryota; Viridiplantae; Streptophyta; Magnoliopsida; Malpighiales; Euphorbiaceae.
CAGCCUAGGGGUUUUGGUUUUAUUACCUAUGCCGAUCCUUCAGUUGUUGAUAAGGUUAUUGAAGACACCCACAUCAUCAAUGGGAAACAGGUUGAGAUAAAGCGGACCAUUCCUAAAGGUUCUGGGCAAUCAAAGGAUUUUAAAACCAAGAAGAUAUUUGUUGGUGGAAUUCCAUCAUCAGUUACAGAAGAUGAGCUCAAGAAUUUCUUUUCGAAAUAUGGGAAAGUGGUGGAGCACCAGAUUAUACGAGAUCAUGAAACAAAUCGUUCUCGAGGAUUUGGAUUUAUAAUUUUUGACAGUGAAGAAAUUGUAGAUGAAAUGUUAUCUGAAGGAAAUAUGAUUGAUGUGGCUGGAACUCAGGUGGAGAUCAAGAAAGCUGAACCAAAGAAAGCCUCAAACCCACCACCUGCUCCUGCAUAUGGUAGCAACUCUAGGGGUCGUACUUACAAUGACAGCUUUGGUGGAUUUGGAGGUUCUUAUGGGGUCUUUGAUGGAGGGUUUGGCCCUGGUCCCUAUAGGACUCCUGGGGGUCUGGGUAGUAGAUUUGGUGGUGGUGGUGGAUAUGGCUAUGGUAGUGAUGGCGG